UCUUUUUGGAGUCUUCAUCUACCA
RNAcentral lists this non-coding RNA (24 nucleotides) under Arabidopsis thaliana (thale cress). Lineage: Eukaryota; Viridiplantae; Streptophyta; Magnoliopsida; Brassicales; Brassicaceae. The record is from RNAcentral.